Molecule: RNA transcript, 3053 nt
Organism: Zea mays
Lineage: Eukaryota; Viridiplantae; Streptophyta; Magnoliopsida; Poales; Poaceae
Exons: 12
Source: RefSeq, a predicted model, not a curated record
CCGCCUCCCCAUGCAUGCUUGCCAUCCAUGGCCGAACAACAAUUUAUCUCUUGAAGAUGAUCCUUGAUUAUGCAUUUAUGCUUCAGUCAUGCGUUACUUUGGAUUUAUUAUUGUGGCCACUGGUGAGUGGUGAUUUUCUGGUUUUCAGUUCAGUAGCUAUAGCUUGGGUGGCAUUGAAUAUGUUAAACAUUCACAAUGAUAUGAUAUGACGUAGGUUGGGGACUUGACAGAUUCCAUUUUCAGACUUACGAUAACUAAUUUUUUUCUAAGAAAAAUCUGUAAAAGUGAAGCACUGGCCGACCUAAACUACUAAAAUUAAUGAAAUACAUGCUUCAUUAUUUACACUAUAAAUAUAUUAACUAUUGCAUAUUUUAAUUUAUUAUAUGUUAAGUAAGAUAUAAAAAUAAAAUUUCAUUAAAUAUGUGUAUAGAGGUAUAGGCUAUAGGCAUUUCUUAGCAAUUUAUGUCAAUCUGUGCCUGACGGAUUCUUCUCGGACAAUAAUUAUAUCCUAUAUAUGUUUGCAUCUAGACCUGAUCAUUCAUGACAUCUAGAUUUCAUGCUAUUUUCUGAUCUAUGAACAACAAUCCAUGAAAUACGAUGUUUGACCAUUAGUCUUGUACUUUAUAUACCUAAAUACUUUUGUCAAUAAAAUUAUGUUUGACACUUUCAAUCUGAUGGAUACAGACCAAAUCACAAUGAUAUAGAGGUGGAGGAAGGAAAUGUCUAUGUUGGUAAUACUGCUGAACCAUCGUAUGAGGUUGUGGCUAGCAGUGAUUAUUCAGCACAAGUGCAUACUAAUGACACUGACGAACAUGAACUGAAUAUAGAGAGCGAGGAUAGUAAGGUCAGUGUUGGUAAUGUUGCAAAACAAUCACACGAUGUUGUGGGAGUAGGUAUUGACUGUAUUUUCAUUCCUGUUAAAGUGUCAACUGAAGCCGGUCUUGGACCACAACCAGAUGUGAUACUCCUGACAUCUUUGGAUGUUCCAAAUGAAUCAAGUCAAAUAAGUUCUGAUGCGAUUAUGCUAGAGCAGAACAAACAAGAUGCUUUGGACACACUUAUUAGAAUAUCACAACAUAAAAAACCAAAGAAAUUGAAUGUAGCUCGAGUUGUCUCUGAAGAUUAUAAGUGCACCCCAGAAGAUGUUCAGCUUAUUGAAUACAUUAAAACAUUACCGGGGAAACAAGUUGUGGUGAACAUCGACAACGCAUGGUUAAAUAGAAAUGAUAUGGAAUGUCUUUUUCAUGGUGACAUCCAAUUGUCUGGCGAAGCCCUCAGUGCAUAUAUCCACUGUAUUAGGGAUGAAGAGCAUUUACUUCAUAGAGAAGGUGGAAAGGUCUUCUUGGAGAACACAUUUAUUUCCAGUCUGCUUAAGCGUGAUGGCGACCCUAAGGUGCUCUUAAAUUGUAAGGAAGACACAAUUGAAAAAAGAAUGGACAACUAUUUACAGUCUGACAUGGUGUUUAUUCCAAUGAAUAUAGAAAAUUUUCACUGGUACCUGACAGUUCUGAAUGCAAAAAAAGUGAGGUACAUGUACUCGAUUCUAUGGGACAACAAAUAACGGAUCGCCGAGAUCUUUAUACUACAUUAAAAGGUCUAGAAAGACAGAUUAAACUUGCAGCAGAACAUAAAGAGCUUUACCAAGGCAAGUAGUCGAACCUUGAUGUUGCAUCAUGACCAGUUAUAGAGAAGAUCACAACGCAAAUGCAAACCGAUGGGGUAUCUUGCGGGCUAUGGAUGAUAAACUAUAUGGAAUACUGGACAGGAUCCUCCCUAUCUGAUAACGUAACUCAGGUUUAAGCUACCUGCAAUAUUAUGGGACUCGAGAUUAAACACAAAGAAAAGGCAUCAAAAUCUUGACCACAAUGUGGAUGAAGAUGGAGAGAGUUCAAGUGAUGUUCAAAUAAUCGAUACUCCAUGUGAGUUAUCUAAAUCGUCAAAUACAUCACAUCAGAUUGAACCAUAUGUUCUGCCUGCUAAAGUAACAUCAACAAACACACAAGAACUGAUGUUUGUAUUAUGCACAUAUAUCAUGGGGAUAGACAACGCCAAAUAUUUAAAGUAAGUUAAUUCUCAUUUAAUGUAGUAUAUGCAUGGUAAAUAUUCAACACAUAUGUUCUUGCUUUAACUAUAAAAACAAAUGUUCAUUUAAUAGGAAACAUUAGAUUCAGAGCACUAAACCUUAUCCAAUUUCUUUAAAUCUUCAAAAACUUAAAGAUAUAUUGGAUGUAAAUAAGCUGAUGGAUACAGAUUGUUUUAACAUGGCUGUUCGGAUGAUCGCAUGCAAUGAUGCCUUGUUCUUGUUGGAAGACAAAUACCACUACAUGGAUCUACAAUUCUGUGUAAGUUGAAGUAAUUAGUCUUUAUUCAUAUAAGUGUGUUCAUUAUAUAAUUAUUUUACUAACAAAAAGUAGUCCAUAACUAAAUUUGGUCGAGACCCUCGCCUUCGUGCAAAGUCAGAUAUCAACAUGUUGGCAAAAUUAUUAGAAUGUUAGCCUGACAUGGAGUACGAUGUUUCAGAUUGCAAACAAAUUCUAUUGCCCUAUUCUUUCUUGGGUCACUUCACCUUAUAUGUACUUAAUAUGGACACUAGAAGCAUCUAUAUAAUGGACUCCAUGCCUAUACCAUCAUGGUUUAAGGGUGAUCAUCCUAGCAUGCAUUAUAUCCAUAAUAUACAUUAUAUUGCCAAUAAUAUGAAUGCUGCUAUGGAAUUGGCCAAUCCUACAUGGAAAGACGAUAUUUAUAUGUGGCAUCGUAUAGUACCAACAUGGGUUGCAAGAACAUUAAACUGGGAUUUAUCUGGCUUUCUUGUUAUCAACUUUAUGCACGAUUGGAAUGGUAUAAGGUUAUCCUGCAUUUGCACUAAUGGGAAUGUCCUGAGGACCAAAUUCUUAGUAGAAUUAUUGAAGUACAAGGACAAUGAAUCCAAAGACAACAUUCCAGAAGAAAUACAAGAAAUUAUUAGGCACAUCAGACAGAUAUGAUUUUAUUUGUAAUGAUACUCAACUUUUACAGAAAACUAUUAUCCUUAAUGUAUAUUCACUUCAUUUUAA